GCCGUUCUUCAUCCCUGAUAUUCUUCAAACCAUCGCCGCUUAUCUCUUGUAUAAAUCCAUCGCGCGUUCUCUGUCUUCCUUAUCUUCUCCCAGCCAAAAGUCCCAGCGCGCGGUGCUCCAGUGGCGUCUUCUCCCUGCUGUGCUCGCCGGAGCUCCUCCAGCUCGACCGCUCGGCUUCCCCUAGCCUCUUCCCCUGCGAGCUCGACUCCUGCUCGCCUAUGGAGUUCGCCCAGCUCCCUGCUCCGGUGACUAGGGCUCGGCGUCCGGCUCCCUGGAUGCUUGCCCUGCUCGCCGCCAUCCUGCUCGGCCAGCGCAGUCCCUUCUCUGCUCUCUCUCUAUUCCCUGCUCACUGGCAGCCGACUCCCUCUACCUCCCAUGGACGCCAGCCGCGCCCCUGGUUCCUGCCUCUGCUCGCCGUGGAGUCUACGCGCGCGCUGCUCCCCUAUUGGCCGCGACGAGCUCGCCCUUUCUUCAGCCCGGUUUCUGUUUCUCAUCUGCUCCUGCUUCGCGCGCGAGUCCCUCUGGCCGUCUUCGCUCCCAGCGCCGCGCACACUGCUCCUUGGGGCUCGGCCGCGACCUCGCCGUCGUUCGGCAGCUCCAGCGCCUCUGUUCUUCCCUGCGCGCGCGUUCCAUCCCGCGCUCGGCGCCUUUCCUGCUCCCAAGUCCGGUGCCCUGCCGAGCUUGACCCUUACCGCGCGCAUCUCAGCUGGUGCCCAUGGCCACGCCCGGCUUCUUGCUCCACCCAUAGUCGAAGCUCCUUCCGGUUGCCGUCGCUCGCCGUCGUCUCUUCGUGCUGGCCGACUAGUUUACCGUGGUCGCGCGUAGUUCCCUGCUCGGCUAGGAUAGUCGCGCCGUCGAUUCCGCUUGAGCCCCUUCGCGUUCGUCGAUGCCCUCUGGCUCGACUCUGCCCAGUUCGCGUCCUGCUCGUCUUUGCGUCGCGCGCGUAGCGUUUUGUUGUUCCUGCGCGUGCUGCCGCGAAGCUCUCUGUUCAGUUCACCUCUGUCGUGUUGUCGUACGCGCGAAACUGCUCGUGGUCGAUAUCAAGUCCGUGACGCGCGCUGGACACGGUAAAACGUUGCGUGGGCUUGUGUCCGAGCCCGCCCAACCGUGACCUCGCUUUGCUUCUCGCGUCGCUACUCGCCAAGUUCUUCCCCAGUCCGCGCCAUAAAAUUCACUCGGACACGAUCUCGUCGUCGUUCCGCGCGUCAGCAAGAAAUCUCAAGAAUCGGAUGAAGACAAAGCUAGCAGCGCGAUAUUCCUCAAGCGCUCGACAAAUUGCCUGGAUCGGAAAAUCGCUACCGAUCUCGUGGAUUCAUGUCAGCUGUGGAAACGGUACAUUAAUUAAUCGCGUGAUGCGGAGAACGACCCAUGUCGACCCCAAGCAUGGGCCAAUCCACAGGAUGAUGCUAAUGGACAAACCUGAAGAGGAUCGUCAAGUGGACAUCGUCUAACAACACUAACCUAGUGUUACCCAGGCAAGCCCCGGUGCAUGCAACCCCUUCUGUCGGUGUUUCGACCCCAGGGGGUCCCUGGACCGACGAGUAAAUUGACGCCGCGUGUCCCAGCCCAGAUGGGUCGGCGCGAGACGGAGCACGAAGGGGGGAGAAACGGCAAAAGGGGAAACCCGCGGCCUUCGUGUUGCCCCGCGCCCAGGUCGGGUGCGCUUGCAGUAGGGGGGUUACAAGCGUCCGCGAGGGAGAGAGAGAGACCGUCCGCCGGCCCGUUCUCCCGCGCGGCCAACCCCCUCGUACGAGAGCCCUGGACCUUCCUUUUAUAGGCGUAAGUAGAGGGCCCAGAUGUACAAUGGGGGGUGUAGCAGUGUGCUAACGUGUCUAGCAGAGAGGAGCUAGGGCCCUAAGUACAUGCCGUCGUGGCAGCCGGAGAGGUUUUGGCGCCCUGUUCAUGUGAUGUCGUGGCCGUCGGAGGAGUGCUUGAGCCUUGUGGAAGUACAACUGUCGGGGCUGUCGGAUCCUUGCUGACGUCUCCUUGCUUCCGUAAGGGGCUGAGAGCCACCGUCGUCAUGGCGCACGCGGGGUGCCAUCAUUACUUGUUUACCGGGGCGAGCCAGAUGGGACGCCGAUCUUGUUCCCCGUAGCCUGAGCUAGCUAGGGGUAGGGUAAUGAUGGCUUAGUGACUUAAGAGAGGGUCAUUUGUGUUUCUCUUGUUGCUCUUGUUGCUUGGAUUGCUUUCUUGUUCUCACUCUAAACUUCUCAAGUGUUUUGUAAAGCAUGUAAGAGACACCUAAUUGUGUGGUGAUCCUUGUAGGGUCUUAGUGACCCGUGUGAUUAAGAAAAAGCACUCGACCGGUCUAAGUGACCGUUUGAGAGAGGGAAAGGGUUGGAAUAGACUCGGCCUUUGUGGCCUCCUCAACGGGGAGUAGGUUCCUUAGAACCGAAUCUCGAGAAACAAAUCACCGCGUUCAUUUGUUUUUAUCUUCAUCACUUGAUAUGUUUCUUCCCUCUCCUCUCUCUCUCUCUCAAAGUUCUCUUGCUCAUAUUGUUUUUGAGUUUGCUCCCAAAGUUAUCCGCUUUGAUUGAGCAACUCAUAGCAAGAGGAACUAUCUUCCGCACUCCAAAUUAUUUCUAACACUAACCCCGGG
RNAcentral lists this unclassified non-coding RNA (2599 nucleotides) under Zea mays. Its description in RNAcentral is "misc RNA Zm00001eb354020". Lineage: Eukaryota; Viridiplantae; Streptophyta; Magnoliopsida; Poales; Poaceae. The record is from RNAcentral.